This 497-nucleotide ribosomal RNA is filed under the name uncultured bacterium. RNAcentral describes it as "partial 16S ribosomal RNA". It matches the Rfam family "Bacterial small subunit ribosomal RNA", at positions 28 to 507 of the family's 1533-position model. The record is from RNAcentral.
GAUGAACGCUGGCGGCGUGCCUAAUACAUGCAAGUCGAGCGAACAGAUGAGGAGCUUGCUCCUCUGACGUUAGCGGCGGACGGGUGAGUAACACGUGGAUAACCUACCUAUAAGACUGGGAUAACUUCGGGAAACCGGAGCUAAUACCGGAUAAUAUAUUGAACCGCAUGGUUCAAUAGUGAAAGACGGUUUUGCUGUCACGUAUAGAUGGAUCCGCGCCGCAUUAGCUGGUUGGUAAGGUAACGGCUUACCAAGGCAACGAUGCGUAGCCGACCUGAGAGGGUGAUCGGCCACACGAGAACUGAGACACGGUCCAGACUCCUACGGGAGGCAGCAGUAGGGAAUCUUCCGCAAUGGGCGAAAGCCUGACGGAGCAACGCCGCGUGAGUGAUGACGGUCUUCGGAUCGUAAAACUCUGUUAUUAGGGAAGAACAACUGUGUAAGUAACUAUGCACGUCUUGACGGUACCUAAUCAGAAAGCCACGGCUAACUACGUG